Molecule: long non-coding RNA, 389 nt
Filed under: Helianthus annuus (common sunflower)
Lineage: Eukaryota; Viridiplantae; Streptophyta; Magnoliopsida; Asterales; Asteraceae
Description: hypothetical non coding rna
Source: RNAcentral
UUUCUUUUCUUCUUCUCUCUAUACGUUGGUGUUCUAACCAAUAAUCACCGAUGUGAUAUUCUGUCCGAUCGAUUCGGGAACCAAUUAACGAAUGCCAAAGUGCUGUCUAAAUAAGACUAUACUUUGUGAAUUUCGUUAAGGUUCUGAUCUCGUGACCAUCGUUAGGUUUGAUGUGGUUUUACACUAAUAUGUAUUCCACUCUGUUAAGCUAAAUGUUUAACUAUCAGAAAACUCCGGUCCAUAAACCUACUAUCAAACAAGAUGUAUAAUCAUCAGAAGACUUAGAAUCAAGCUGCUUGUUUAAUCAAGACUAUAUGCUAACAAGGUGAUUACAGUAGAUUGGAAUAAGAGUGAUGAUACGGCACCGAAAGGCUUAAAGAAGUGGCUUA